GACGAACCGUGCGAACGUUGUUCGGAAUCAUUGGGCGUAAAGGGCGCGUAGGUGGUUCUGUGUGUCUACCGUGAAAGCGUACGGCUCAACCGUAUUUUGUCGGUAGAAACUGCAGGACUUGAGGCUGGGAGGGGCUGGUGGAAUUCCCUGUGUAGCGGUGAAAUGCGUAGAGAUGGGGGAGAACACUCGUGGCGAAGGCGGCCAGCUAGACCAGUUCUGACACUGAGGCGCGACAGCGUGGGGAGCAAACAGG
This 253-nucleotide ribosomal RNA is filed under the name uncultured bacterium. RNAcentral describes it as "partial 16S ribosomal RNA". It matches the Rfam family "Bacterial small subunit ribosomal RNA", at positions 524 to 776 of the family's 1533-position model. The record is from RNAcentral.